UACGUAGGGUGCAAGCGUUGUCCGGAAUUAUUGGGCGUAAAGAGCUCGUAGGCGGUCUGUCGCGUCGGCUGUGAAAACUCGGGGCUCAACCCCGAGCCUGCAGUCGAUACGGGCAGACUAGAGUGCGGUAGGGGGAGACUGGAAUUCCUGGUGUAGCGGUGGAAUGCGCAGAUAUCAGGAGGAACACCGAUGGCGAAGGCAGAUCUCUGGGCCGUAACUGACGCUGAGGAGCGAAAGCAUGGGGAGCGAACAGG
RNAcentral lists this ribosomal RNA (254 nucleotides) under uncultured bacterium. RNAcentral's name for it is "partial 16S ribosomal RNA". It matches the Rfam family "Bacterial small subunit ribosomal RNA", at positions 524 to 776 of the family's 1533-position model. The record is from RNAcentral.